AGAGUUUGAUCAUGGCUCAGAGCGAACGCUGGCGGCAGGCUUAACACAUGCAAGUCGAGCGGGCGUAGCAAUACGUCAGCGGCAGACGGGUGAGUAACGCGUGGGAACGUACCUUUUGGUUCGGAACAACCCAGGGAAACUUGGGCUAAUACCGGAUAAGCCCUUACGGGGAAAGAUUUAUCGCCGAAAGAUCGGCCCGCGUCUGAUUAGCUAGUUGGUGAGGUAACGGCUCACCAAGGCGACGAUCAGUAGCUGGUCUGAGAGGAUGAUCAGCCACAUUGGGACUGAGACACGGCCCAAACUCCUACGGGAGGCAGCAGUGGGGAAUAUUGGACAAUGGGCGCAAGCCUGAUCCAGCCAUGCCGCGUGAGUGAUGAAGGCCCUAGGGUUGUAAAGCUCUUUUGUGCGGGAAGAUAAUGACGGUACCGCAAGAAUAAGCCCCGGCUAACUUCGUGCCAGCAGCCGCGGUAAUACGAAGGGGGCUAGCGUUGCUCGGAAUCACUGGGCGUAAAGGGUGCGUAGGCGGGUCUUUAAGUCAGGGGUGAAAUCCUAGAGCUCAACUCCAGAACUGCCUUUGAUACUGAAGAUCUUGAGUUCGGGAGAGGUGAGUGGAACUGCGAGUGUAGAGGUGAAAUUCGUAGAUAUUCGCAAGAACACCAGUGGCGAAGGCGGCUCACUGGCCCGAUACUGACGCUGAGGCACGAAAGCGUGGGGAGCAACAGGAUUAGAUACCCUGGUAGUCCACGCCGUAAACGAUGAAUGCCAGCCGUUAGUGGGUUUACUCACUAGUGGCGCAGCUAACGCUUUAAGCAUUCCGCCUGGGGAGUACGGUCGCAAGAUUAAAACUCAAAGGAAUUGACGGGGCCCGCACAAGCGGUGAGCAUGUGGUUUAAUUCGACGCAACGCGCAGAACCUUACCAGCCCUUGACAUCCCGGUCGCGGACUCCAGAGACGGAGUUCUUCAGUUCG
RNAcentral lists this ribosomal RNA (969 nucleotides) under uncultured bacterium. Its description in RNAcentral is "bacterial SSU rRNA". It matches the Rfam family "Bacterial small subunit ribosomal RNA", at positions 8 to 1023 of the family's 1533-position model. The record is from RNAcentral.